RNAcentral lists this ribosomal RNA (402 nucleotides) under uncultured bacterium. RNAcentral describes it as "bacterial SSU rRNA". It matches the Rfam family "Bacterial small subunit ribosomal RNA", at positions 358 to 774 of the family's 1533-position model. The record is from RNAcentral.
GGAAUAUUGGGCAAUGGAGGCAACUCUGACCCAGCAACGCCGCGUGAAUGAUGAAGGUCUUCGGAUUGUAAAGUUCUGUGAUGGGGGACGAAGAAAGUGACGGUACCCCAAGAGCAAGCCACGGCUAACUACGUGCCAGCAGCCGCGGUAAUACGUAGGUGGCAAGCGUUGUCCGGAAUGACUGGGCGUAAAGGGUGCGUAGGCGGCGAUGCAAGUUAGUGGUGAAAUUCCGGGGCUUAACUCCGGCGCUACCACUAAGACUGUAUUGCUUGAGUGCGAGAGAGGUAAGCGGAAUUCCUAGUGUAGCGGUGGAAUGCGUAGAUAUUAGGAAGAACACCGGUGGCGAAAGCGGCUUGCUGGCUCGUAACUGACGCUGAGGCACGAAAGCGUGGGGAGCAAACA